RNAcentral lists this ribosomal RNA (917 nucleotides) under uncultured bacterium. RNAcentral describes it as "bacterial SSU rRNA". It matches the Rfam family "Bacterial small subunit ribosomal RNA", at positions 8 to 916 of the family's 1533-position model. The record is from RNAcentral.
AGAGUUUGAUCAUGGCUCAGAAUGAACGCUGGCGGCGUGCCUAACACAUGCAAGUCGAGCGAGAAAGUCCCCUUCGGGGGGCGAGUAAAGCGGCGCACGGGUGAGUAACGCGUGGGUAACCUGCCCUUGAGUGGGGGAUAACCAGCCGAAAGGCUGACUAAUCCCGCAUACGACCGGCAGACACAAGUCUGUCGGGGAAAGAUGGCCUCUGCUUGCAAGCUAUCGCUCUUGGAUGGGCCCGCGUUGGAUUAGCUAGUUGGUGGGGUAACGGCCUACCAAGGCUGCGAUCCAUAGCUGGUUUGAGAGGACGACCAGCCACACUGGAACUGAGACACGGUCCGGACUCCUACGGGAGGCAGCAGUGAGGAAUAUUGCGCAAUGGGGGAAACCCUGACGCAGCGACGCCGUGUGAGCGAUGAAGGUCUUCGGAUCGUAAAGCUCUGUCCUUGGGGAAGAAGGCGAAAGCUUGACGGUACCCAAGAAGAAAGCCCCGGCUAACUACGUGCCAGCAGCCGCGGUAAUACGUAGGGGGCGAGCGUUGUCCGGAAUUACUGGGCGUAAAGGGUGCGUAGGCGGCCCUUUAAGUCGGAUGUGAAAGCCCGCGGCUUAACCGCGGAAUGGCAUUCGAAACUGGAGGGCUUGAGUGUCGGAGAGGGUAGUGGAAUUCCCAGUGUAGCGGUGAAAUGCGUAGAUAUUGGGAGGAACACCAGUGGCGAAGGCGACUACCUGGACGAUAACUGACGCUGAGGCACGAAAGCUAGGGGAGCAAACAGGAUUAGAUACCCUGGUAGUCCUAGCCGUAAACGAUGGGUACUAGGUGUGGGUGGUUUCGAUACCAUCCGUGCCGUAGUUAACGCAUUAAGUACCCCGCCUGGGGGAGUACGUGCGCAAGCAUGAAACUCAAAUGAAAUUGACGG